RNAcentral lists this long non-coding RNA (2354 nucleotides) under Lotus japonicus. RNAcentral describes it as "long non-coding RNA (LJAP_LNC000739)". Lineage: Eukaryota; Viridiplantae; Streptophyta; Magnoliopsida; Fabales; Fabaceae. The record is from RNAcentral.
UUAUCUGAAAGGUAACAAGGGUCCAUAAUCAGAAUUAUCAUUCUCACAACUUAAGGUACAUUGAUUAACCAUCUUGUUUUAGCAAUUACUAUUGAAGAUUUCCAUAAAAAAUGACAACCUGCAAAUGAUUAUCAGAAUAGCAUUCUCACUACAUCAUGGUCAUUGUGCACAUGAUUAACCAUGUCGUUUUAGGGACUAAUUUUACGAACUCGCAUUGAUGAUUACCAUCAAAAGGGUCAUCCCUCAAAUUAUCAUUACCCGAAAGGCAACAAGGGUCCAUAAUGAGAAUUAGCCAUCUCACAACUUUAGGUUCAUUGGUCACAUGACUAACCAUUUCGCUUUAGGGACUUAUUUUAUGGAUUCGCAUUAAUGAUUUCCGUCAGAAGGGUCAGACCUCAAAUUAUCAUCAGUCGAAAGCCAACAAGGGUCCAUAAUCUGAAUUUGCAAUCUCACAACUUUUGGUAUCAUUGUUCACAUGAUUAACCAUCAUAAUUUAGGGACUCGCAUGGAUAAUAUCUGUCAAAAGGGUCAUCUCUCAAAUUUUUAUUCAAAUGGCAACAAGGGUCCAUAAAUAGUAUUAGCAUUAUUGCGACUUUAGGUUCAUUGUUUAAAAGAUUAACUAUUUAAUUUUAGAGAUUCACAUUGAUGAUUUCCAUCAAAAGGGUCUGCCCUCAAAUUAUCAUCAGUCGAAAGCCAACAAGGGUCCAUAAUCUGAAUUUGCAAUCUCACAACUUUUGGUAUCAUUGUUCACAUGAUUAACCAUCAUAAUUUAGAGGCUCGCAAUGAUGAUUUCCGUCAAAAGGGUCAUCACUCAAAUUAUUUUAAAUAGGCAACAAGGGUAAAUAAUCAAAAUUAGCAAUCUAACGACCUUAGGAUCAUUGUUCACAUGAUUAACCAUUUCGCUUUAAGGACGUGUUUUAUGGACUCACCAUAAUGAUUUCCGUCAAAAGGGUCAUCUCUCAAAUUAUUAUUCAAAAGGCAACAAGGGUCCAUAAUGAGAAUUAGACAUCAUUAAUGAUUUGGGUCAAUGUUCACAUGAUUAACCAUUUCGCUUUAAGGACGUGUUUUAUGGACUCACAUUAAUGAUUUCCAUCAAAAGGGCCAGACCUCAAAUUAUCAUCAUUCAAAAACAAACAACGGUCCAUAAUAAGUAUUCUCAUUCUCACGACUUUUGGUAUCAUUGUUCACAAGAUUAACCAUCAUGAUUUAGGGACUUAUUUUAGGGACUCGCAUUGAUAAUAUCCGUCAAAAGGAUCAUCUCUCAAAUUAUUAUUCAAAAGGCAACAAGGGUCCAUAAUCAGAGAUAGCAUUCUUGGGACUUUAGGGUCUUAGUGUUCACUUCAUUAAGCAUCUUGUUUUAGGGACUCGCAUUGAUGAUCUCCAUAAAAAGUGUCCGCCCUCAAAUUAUCAUUGUUUGAAAGGCAGCAAGGGUCAUAAACUCAUAAUCUAAAUGUGCAAUCUCACGACUUUGGUAUAAUUGUUCAUAUGAUUAACCUUCAGAAUUUAGGGACUAAAUUUAGGGGCUCGCAAUGAUGAUUUCCGUCAAAAGGGUCAUCUCACAAAUUGCUAUUAAAAAUGCAACAAGGGUCAAUAAUUAGAAUAAGCAAUCUAAUGGCUUUAGGGUCAUUGUUCAAAUGAUUCACCAUCUCGUUUUCGGGACUUGUUUAGGGACUCGCAUUGAUGAUUUCCUUCAAAAGGGUCAACCCAAAAUUAUUAUUAAUCGAAAGGCAACAAGGAUCCAUAAUCAGAAUUAGCAUUCUUAUGACUUUAAGGUCAGGGUUUACAUGAUUAACAAUCUCGUUUGAGAGACUUAUUUACUGAUGAUUUCCAUCAAAACAGUCAACCCUGAAAUUAUUAUUAUCCGAAAGCCAACAAUGGUCCAUAAUCUAAAAUAGCAUUCCCUUAACUUUAAGGUCAUUGUUCACAUGAUUAGCCAUCUUAUUUAAGGGGCUCGUUUGAGGGACUCGUGAUAAUGAUUUCCAUCAAAACUGUUAGCCCUCAAAUUAUCAUUAUCUGAAAGGCAACUAGGGUCCAUAAUGAGAAUUAGUCAUCCCACGACUUUAGGGUCAUUGUUCACGUCAUUAACCAUCGCGUCAUAGGGAUCCGAUUUAUGGACUCACAUUCAUGAUUUCCGUCAAAAGGGUCGGGACUCAAAUUAUCAUUUUUGAAAUGACAACUAGGGUUUAAGAUCAAAAUAAGCAUUCCACGACUUUAGGGUCAUUUUUCACAUGUUUAACCUUCUCGUCUAAGCUACUCGCAUUGAUAAUUUUCAGCAAAAGGGUCAGCCCUUAAAUUAUCAAUACAGAAAAGUCUAUUGAUUUACAAGAUAUGAUAUAAUAAGGAAUGGACUAACC